This 497-nucleotide ribosomal RNA is filed under the name uncultured bacterium. RNAcentral describes it as "partial 16S ribosomal RNA". It matches the Rfam family "Bacterial small subunit ribosomal RNA", at positions 28 to 507 of the family's 1533-position model. The record is from RNAcentral.
GACGAACGCUGGCGGCGUGCCUAAUACAUGCAAGUUGAGCGAUGAAGCUUGGUGCUUGCGCCAAUUUGAAGAGCAGCGAACGGGUGAGUAACGCGUGGGGAAUCUGCCUUUGAGCGGGGGACAACAUUUGGAAACGAAUGCUAAUACCGCAUAAUAACUUUAAACAUAAGUUUUAAGUUUGAAAGAUGCAAUUGCAUCACUCAAAGAUGAUCCCGCGUUGUAUUGGCUAGUUGGUGAGGUAAAGGCUCACCAAGGCGAUGAUACAUAGCCGACCUGAGAGGGUGAUCGGCCACAUUGGGACUGAGACACGGCCCAAACUCCUACGGGAGGCAGCAGUAGGGAAUCUUCGGCAAUGGACGAAAGUCUGACCGAGCAACGCCGCGUGAGUGAAGAAGGUUGUCGGAUCGUAAAACUCUGUUGGUAGAGAAGAACGUUGGUGAGAGUGGAAAGCUCAUCAAGUGACGGUAACUACCCAGAAAGGGACGGCUAACUACGUG